UGGACGGAGAUUUGUUAAAGAUC
This 23-nucleotide microRNA is filed under the name Gyrodactylus salaris (gyrodactylosis fluke). RNAcentral describes it as "gsa-miR-184a-3p". Its record names the gene gsa-miR-184a-3p. Lineage: Eukaryota; Metazoa; Platyhelminthes; Monogenea; Gyrodactylidea; Gyrodactylidae. The record is from miRBase by way of RNAcentral.